UGGAGGCAUGUGGUUUAAAUUCGAAGCAACGCGCAGAACCUUACCAACCCUUGACAUCCCUAUCGCGGUUUCUCGAGAGAGAUUCCUUCAGUUCGGCUGGAUAGGUGACAGGUGCUGCAUGGCUGUCGUCAGCUCGUGUCGUGAGAUGUUCGGUUAAGUCCGGCAACGAGCGCAACCCACAUCCUUAGUUGCCAGCAGUUCGGCUGGGCACUCUAGGGAAACUGCCCGUGAUAAGCGGGAGGAAGGUGUGGAUGACGUCAAGUCCUCAUGGCCCUUAGCGGGUCGGGCUACACACGUGCUACAAUGGUGCUCACAGUGGGUUAAUCCCCAAAAGGCAUCUCAGUUCGGAUUGUCGUCUGCAACUCGACGGCAUGAAGUCGGAAUCGCUAGUAAUCGCAGAACAGCAUGCUGCGGUGAAUACGNUCCCGGGCCUUGUACACACCGCCCGUCACACCAUGGGAGUUGGUUCUACCUGACGACGCUGCGCUAACCCUUACGGGAGGCAGGCGGCCACGGUAGGAUCAGCGA
Molecule: ribosomal RNA, 528 nt
Filed under: uncultured Alphaproteobacteria bacterium
Lineage: Bacteria; Pseudomonadati; Pseudomonadota; Alphaproteobacteria
Description: bacterial SSU rRNA
Rfam family: Bacterial small subunit ribosomal RNA
Source: RNAcentral